AUGUGGUCAUCAGGACACAUCAACGUCGAUGGGAUUGUCCCUCCCUCUUCUUUCUUCUUGAUCGGAAUCCUUUUUCGCCCAAAAUCCUUUUCCCCCCAAAAUCCAAUUUCUUUCCCAAGCUCGGUGGCUCUUCUUAGUCGAUCAAGCUUCAGGUUAAGUGCAGUCGCCGUCGAUUGCUGUAGCCAGUCUUCCACCUCUGUCAGCGUCAUUCGGAGCUUUGUUCGGCGCCUCCUCCAUCCGGCAUCCUCUUCCCUUCUAAGCUUAUCCAGUCUCUGUUGCAUCAAAAUUGGAAGCAUUUUUCAGAGGAAGUCAGAAGAGAGCAUCGUGGACUGCUAUCACCUGUAGAGUCCAAUGGUUAUCUUAAUUUAAUAUUGGUUUUAUUCCCAUGAUUAAUAUGCUUCAAUCAGAAGGGGACAUCGUGGACUUGCUUGGAGUUAUGGUGCUCAAGCAAGCUUUUUGAGAAGAUUAAAAGGAAGGAGCAAGAAAUAGGAAAGGGCAAGGGAAGAUUAAUGAUUACUAACAAUGAGAUUCUGAUGUGGAAAGCUUUUGAGAAUUGAAGGGGAUGAAGACUAUAGUUUGUUGCUGAUAAAUUCAGUGUUGAUGACUUGCUACUUCGUUGUCUAGUUGUUUAGUAUAUGUAUGUUGCUGUGCAGAAAUGUUUAUGCACCUUGAGAUGGUUUUAACGUUUCAUUGGAACUGGGUUUAACCAGAGAUGGUUUAACAUAUGUAACUUGAGUGGCAGGUUGGGCUAGGAAAAGAGGGACUUGGUCAGGAGCGGAUCUUUUUCAGCCCACACUAUCUAACCCAAGCUCAUUUCAAGCUAAUCCUCAUAACCUGCAGAUUAGCUUGCUUUUAAUAUUAUUUUUAAUUCCAACAUCAUGAA
This is an RNA transcript of Prosopis cineraria, 883 nucleotides long. RefSeq lists it as uncharacterized. NCBI's taxonomy places the organism in Eukaryota, Viridiplantae, Streptophyta, Magnoliopsida, Fabales, Fabaceae. The record is from RefSeq and is a predicted model, not a curated record. The transcript has 3 exons.